RNAcentral lists this ribosomal RNA (425 nucleotides) under uncultured bacterium. RNAcentral describes it as "bacterial SSU rRNA". It matches the Rfam family "Bacterial small subunit ribosomal RNA", at positions 354 to 796 of the family's 1533-position model. The record is from RNAcentral.
GUGGGGAAUAUUGGACAAUGGGCGAAAGCCUGAUCCAGCAAUGCCGCGUGAGUGAUGAAGGCCUUAGGGUUGUAAAGCUCUUUUACCAGGGAUGAUAAUGACAGUACCUGGAGAAUAAGCUCCGGCUAACUCCGUGCCAGCAGCCGCGGUAAUACGGAGGGAGCUAGCGUUGUUCGGAAUUACUGGGCGUAAAGCGCACGUAGGCGGUUACUCAAGUCAGAGGUGAAAGCCCGGGGCUCAACCCCGGAACUGCCUUUGAAACUAGGUAACUAGAAUCUUGGAGAGGUCAGUGGAAUUCCGAUUGUAGAGGUGAAAUUCGUAGAUAUUCGGAAGAACACCAGUGGCGAAGGCGACUGACUGGACAAGUAUUGACGCUGAGGUGCGAAAGCGUGGGGAGCAAACAGGAUUAGAUACCCUUGUAGUCC